CAUGAGACUCAUAGGUCGCGAGUAUUGAUAUUACAUAUAUAAGAUACAGGAAAUACUUAAAAUUUCUCCAGUGAGAACUAUCAGAUCGACUUGCAAACAUUGGUGAAUCUGAGUUGACGUUAGACAAAACGAUACGGCACUCUCUUUGAAUAUUAUUUAAAUUUUAAAAUUCGUUUUCUAUUUUUUCCUUCUAAUCACUAUGGAUAUCGUACAUAAAAAGUGUUCAUUUUUAAUUGCAUUUGGCUACUUCGUAGUAUUCAUACACUUUGCGAGUGUGACAGUACAAGCAAAUGUUUGUACGGUGCCUCCCCAACCAGCAAAUGGUUUUCGGCAAUUAUGUUGGAUGCAAUGUCCAUCGCAAGAAACCAAUGCAACGAUGCACGAUUGCGACGUGCAAGAUGGUACAAAAUUACCAGCUUUGACUCAUUUAAUUUAUACCUGUAAUUCUGGAUAUCAACUAAACAGUUCCAGUGAUGUAUUUUGUGACCAAGGUGGGAACUGGUCAGAUAUUCCAGUUUGUACUGAAUCGUCUGGUUUGCUUGGAACCAACGCAGUGUUGAGUCGUCGCAACGAUCGUGAAGCAGUUGCACAUUUUCAAUUCAAAGAAGUAAAUGAAGAUACAGAAUGCGGUGUUGUUUCUCUGAAAUACAAUCCUUUCAUUACGAACGGCAGUAUCUUUAAUGAAACCAUGAUUCCAUGGCACGCUACUUUAUAUUAUCAAGAAUUCCCAAACGGACCGAAGAAAUUUAUUUGCGGAGCAACAAUAGUAAAAAAGAAAUACCUUCUAGCCGCAGCGCAUUGCGUCUACGACGAUACGAUUCAAUCGAUAAACGACCCAAAUAAAUAUUAUAUUUUAACUGGAAACAUUUAUCGUGACUACGAUUCUUCCCUGCACGAUGAAAGAUUCGUUAAAAAGGCCAAAGUUAAAAACAUUUAUGUUCCUUCUGAUUAUAAGGGCUACGAAGGAAAUUAUGCUAAUGACAUAGCAAUAUUGGAAAUCGAAAUACCAUUUGUUUUGUCAUCUACGUUAACCCCUGCGUGUAUAAAUGGUGAUAUUUUUCAAUCUGGAAUAGGUCUCGUUUCAGGAUUUGGUAAAACACAUGAAGGAACGUCCAGUUCUAUUCUACAAUCUGUAUUAUUGCCCUAUGUUCCUCGUGAUCAAUAAAAUUCGUGGAGAAAUUGGGCCGUUGGACUUGAGUGGACCGGACUCGAACCACGGAUCUUUCGCAUUCCGGGCGACUGCUUUUUAUCUAUUGAGCUAUCUAGGACCCACUGUCCAAUCCCUUCACGAAUGCCUAUUUAAGUAUUUGACAUGGAGGAACAGCUGUCUGCGAUGGUGACAGCGGAGGAGGAUUUGUAUCUUCAACUGGAAAUUUAGUUUUUCUACGAGGAAUCGUAAGUCUCUCUCU
RNAcentral lists this unclassified non-coding RNA (1409 nucleotides) under Polistes canadensis. RNAcentral describes it as "coagulation factor IX-like, transcript variant X2". The record is from RNAcentral. Lineage: Eukaryota; Metazoa; Arthropoda; Insecta; Hymenoptera; Vespidae.